RNAcentral lists this ribosomal RNA (1334 nucleotides) under metagenome. RNAcentral's name for it is "bacterial LSU rRNA". It matches the Rfam family "Bacterial large subunit ribosomal RNA", at positions 1570 to 2925 of the family's 2925-position model. The record is from RNAcentral.
GCGAAAAUAGAGUAGCGAAGUCCGCGAUGUUCGGAGGCGAGAAAAGCUCUGAGGUAUGCUAAGGUGCCCGUACCGCAAACCGACACAGGUAGAUGAGGAGAGAAUCCUAAGGCCAACGGGAGAAGGGUUGUUAAGGAACUCGGCAAAUUGACCCCGUAACUUCGGAAGAAGGGGAGCCCCCUACGGGGGGUCGCAGAGAAAUGGCCCAAGCAACUGUUUACCAAAAACACAGGUCUAUGCUAAAUCGAAAGAUGACGUAUAUGGGCUGACGCCUGCCCGGUGCCGGAAGGUUAAGAGGAGAUGUCAGGCAACGAAGCAUUGAAUUUAAGCCCCGGUAAACGGCGGCCGUAACGAUAACGGUCCUAAGGUAGCGAAAUUCCUUGUCAGGUAAGUUCUGACCCGCACGAAUGGCGUAAUGAUUUGGGCACUGUCUCAACAGCCCGCCCGGCGAAAUUGUAGUACUGGUGAAGAUGCCAGUUACCCGCAACUAGACGGAAAGACCCCAUGGAGCUUUACUGCAGCUUAAUACUGAAAUUCGGUAGUACAUGUACAGGAUAGGUGGGAGACUGAGAAAUACAGGCGUCAGCUUGUAUGGAGUCGCUGUUGGGAUACCACUCUUGUACUGCUGGGUUUCUAACCUGCGGCCGUGAAUCCGGUCGGGGGACACUGUUAGGCGGGCAGUUUGACUGGGGCGGUCGCCUCCCAAAAGGUAACGGAGGCGCUCAAAGGUUCGUUCAGCACGGACGGAAAUCGUGCAUGAGUGUAAACGCAUAAACGAGCCUAACUGCGACACCGACGGGUGGAGCAGUAACGAAAGUUGGAGUUAGUGAUCCGGUGGUAUGUGAGUGGAAAUGCCAUCGCUCAACGGAUAAAAGCUACCCUGGGAUAACAGGCUGAUCUCCCCCAAGCGUCCACAGCGACGGGGAGGUUUGGCACCUCGAUGUCGGCUCGUCGCAUCCUGGGGCUGAAUUCGGUCCCAAGGGUUUGGCUGUUCGCCAAUUAAAGCGGCACGCGAGCUGGGUUCAGAACGUCGUGAGACAGUUCGGUCCCUAUCUGUUGCGGGCGUAAGAGAUUUGAAGGGAGCUGUCCUUAGUACGAGAGGACCGGGAUGGACGUACCUCUGGUGCACCAGUUGUCCUGCCAAGGGCAUAGCUGGGUAGCUAUGUACGGACGAGAUAAACGCUGAAAGCAUCUAAGCGUGAAACUCCCCCUAAGAUGAGAUCUCUCAUCCUUCAAGGAGUAAGGACCCAGAAAGACGAUCUGGUUGAUAGGCCGAAGGUGGAAGCGCAGUAAUGUGUGCAGCUGAUCGGUACUAAUAGUCCGAGGGCUUGACC